AGUGAACGCUGGCGGUAGGCCUAACACAUGCAAGUCGAACGGCAGCACAGUAAGAGCUUGCUCUUACGGGUGGCGAGUGGCGGACGGGUGAGGAAUACAUCGGAAUCUACUUUUUCGUGGGGGAUAACGUAGGGAAACUUACGCUAAUACCGCAUACGACCUACGGGUGAAAGCAGGGGAUCUUCGGACCUUGCGCGAUUGAAUGAGCCGAUGUCGGAUUAGCUAGUUGGCGGGGUAAAGGCCCACCAAGGCGACGAUCCGUAGCUGGUGUGAGAGGAUGGUCAGCCACAGUGGAACUGAGACACGGUCCAGACUCCGACGGGAGGCAGCAGUGGGGAAUAUUGGACAAUGGGCGCAAGCCUGAUCCAGCCAUACCGCGUGGGUGAAGAAGGCCUUCGGGUUGUAAAGCCCUCUUGUGGGGAAAGAAAAGCAGCAGGUUAAUACCCCGCUGUUCUGACGGUACCCAAAGAAUAAGCACCGGCGAACUUCGU
Molecule: ribosomal RNA, 491 nt
Filed under: uncultured bacterium
Lineage: Bacteria
Description: partial 16S ribosomal RNA
Rfam family: Bacterial small subunit ribosomal RNA
Source: RNAcentral